Molecule: ribosomal RNA, 490 nt
Filed under: uncultured bacterium
Lineage: Bacteria
Description: partial 16S ribosomal RNA
Rfam family: Bacterial small subunit ribosomal RNA
Source: RNAcentral
AUUGAACGCUGGCGGCAGGCCUAACACAUGCAAGUCGAACGGUAACAGAAAGCAGCUUGCUGCUUUGCUGACGAGUGGCGGACGGGUGAGUAAUGUCUGGGAAACUGCCUGAUGGAGGGGGAUAACUACUGGAAACGGUAGCUAAUACCGCAUAACGUCGCAAGCCCAAAGAGGGGGACCUUCGGGCCUCUUGCCAUCGGAUGUGCCCAGAUGGGAUUAGCUAGUAGGUGGGGUAACGGCUCACCUAGGCGACGAUCCCUAGCUGGUCUGAGAGGAUGACCAGACACACUGGAACUGAGACACGGUCCAGACUCCUACGGGAGGCAGCAGUGGGGAAUAUUGCACAAUGGGCGCAAGCCUGAUGCAGCCAUGCCGCGUGUAUGAAGAAGGCCUUCGGGUUGUAAAGUACUUUCAGCGGGGAGGAAGGGAGUAAAGUUAAUACCUUUGCUCAUUGACGUUACCCGCAGAAGAAGCACCGGCUAACUCCGUG